RNAcentral lists this ribosomal RNA (495 nucleotides) under uncultured bacterium. RNAcentral describes it as "partial 16S ribosomal RNA". It matches the Rfam family "Bacterial small subunit ribosomal RNA", at positions 28 to 507 of the family's 1533-position model. The record is from RNAcentral.
GACGAACGCUAGCGGCGUGCCUAAUACAUGCAAGUAGAACGCUGAAGGAGGAGCUUGCUUCUCUGGAUGAGUUGCGAACGGGUGAGUAACGCGUAGGUAACCUGCCUGGUAGCGGGGGAUAACUAUUGGAAACGAUAGCUAAUACCGCAUAAGAGUAGAUGUUGCAUGACAUUUGCUUAAAAGGUGCAAUUGCAUCACUACCAGAUGGACCUGCGUUGUAUUAGCUAGUUGGUGAGGUAACGGCUCACCAAGGCGACGAUACAUAGCCGACCUGAGAGGGGGAUCGGCCACACUGGGACUGAGACACGGCCCAGACUCCUACGGGAGGCAGCAGUAGGGAAUCUUCGGCAAUGGACGGAAGUCUGACCGAGCAACGCCGCGUGAGUGAAGAAGGUUUUCGGAUCGUAAAGCUCUGUUGUAAGAGAAGAACGAGUGUGAGAGUGGAAAGUUCACACUGUGACGGUAUCUUACCAGAAAGGGACGGCUAACUACGUG